CCUACGGGAGGCAGCAGUGGGGAAUCUUGCGCAAUGGGCGAAAGCCUGACGCAGCAACGCCGCGUGCGGGAAGAAGGCUUUCGGGCUGUAAACCGCUUUCAGCAGGAACGAAAAUGACGGUACCUGCAGAAGAAGGAGCGGCCAACUAUGUGCCAGCAGCCGCGGUGAUACAUAGGCUUCAAGCGUUGUCCGGAUUUAUUGGGCGUAAAGAGUUCGUAGGCGGUCGAGUAAGUCGGGUGUGAAAAUUCUGGGCUCAACCCAGAGACGCCACCCGAUACUGCUUGACUUGAGUUCGAUAGGGGAGUGGGGAAUUCCUAGUGUAGCGGUGAAAUGCGCAGAUAUUAGGAGGAACACCGGUGGCGAAGGCGCCACUCUGGAUCGAUACUGACGCUGAGGAACGAAAGCAUGGGUAGCAAACAGGAUUAGAUACCCUGGUAGUCCAUGCCGUAAACGGUGGGCACUAGGUGUGGGUUUCUAUUAACGAAAUCCGCGCCGUCGCUAACGCAUUAAGUGCCCGCCUGGGAGUCGGUCGCAAGCAAACUUAAGGAAUUGAACGG
Molecule: ribosomal RNA, 557 nt
Filed under: uncultured bacterium
Lineage: Bacteria
Description: bacterial SSU rRNA
Rfam family: Bacterial small subunit ribosomal RNA
Source: RNAcentral